Molecule: long non-coding RNA, 2872 nt
Organism: Anas platyrhynchos (mallard)
Lineage: Eukaryota; Metazoa; Chordata; Aves; Anseriformes; Anatidae
Source: RefSeq, a predicted model, not a curated record
GAUAGCAACAGAUGGACACAUCUCCUCCCUCACCCUUUCUUUUUAUUGUACUCCAUAAAAAUGAAUCCCUUUCCUUAAGCUGAGAGCAUCUGUCUCUUGUGUGAGAAGAUUUAUUAUUUUUUUUUUUUCCUCUUUCUUUCCCCCCUCCCUCUUCUGUACUUUGUGAAGCUGUGUGACUCUUCAAGGUAAAGUGUGAAGGCCACACACACACAAAAUUGUGUUCAGACAAAGCACAAAAGCCUUGAAGGAGGCAAGUGAAAGUCAAGUUCUUCAAAGUCAUUUGCUGUCUGGUGCCAGGAACCACAAAAACAGAUGGAGAGUUGGAGAAAGAAGUGGUAGAAGAAAGCCUCUCAAGGCUUGCAUGACUGCAAAUGAAUAGAGUAGAAUACUUCAGUCAUUUGAGAGUCAUGUUACUGGUCCUGAAACAAAACUGUUGUGACAAGUUGUUGAAUGGAAGACUUUCCAAGAAAUCAAUCCUUCAUACCAGAAAGAUGUCCUUAUUCUUAGCAGUGUUAUGUUCACCCAAGGACAAUGCUACAAGGGUAUAACAAGUGAAGAGCCUUGGGCUGCCUUACGGCAAGCAGAUUCAUCUGAUUGAUGCCCAAACAAACUGCACUACAAUAUUUGGAGCUUCUUGCAAUACAAGAGUUCUUCUCCUAAAGCACUUGAAUCCCUUUCCUUGCAGGACUUCCAACAUUUUUACAGUGUAGGAGUUCCCUGUCAUCAUUAAGGCUGGAGCUGACUCUGGAGUUGUUGUAUCAUAGCCUUGCCAGGUGCUGACACGUGCUGACAAUACACUUCUCAUGAAGCAACAAUUUUCUAGAAAAAUCAGGUAAUCUUAGAUGCAUAGAUGUUUUAUUUUCUCUUGAAAAGUCAAGACAGUAAUAAGGGCAAAAAAGGGAAAAAUACUGGUUCCUUCACUUCACCUGGGAAUGAAUGUUAUAUGCAAGCAUCCUGAAGAAGAUGCUCUUAAACCAUUAAAAGGGAUGUGAACUUGGUGACAGCAACUAAUGGGAUGAAGAUGGAAAGUAUUGGCUGCAAAAUAUAAAUUGAGGAUUGUAUAGUGAUGCAUAAACACUAAGAAGACUCAAGACUUGGGUUAGACCCAAGUGCUCAAGACCUUCAUCGGGGAGGAAAAAAAAAAUAGUUGCAUGGAAAUCGCUUCAGUGGCUUGUCACUCAAGUUCUGACCGAAAAGUGACUGUGAUUUUUGAUGAUUUCAUUCCACAACUUGUGACUAGUUUUUUAUAAAGACAGAUUUCUUCAUCUACAGCUUCCUCAAACUGUAUUUGUCUUCCUUCUGUUAUUCAAAGUUUUCGCAUGUGGUAAGAAGAAAAAAAAUGUUUUUCCUAACAUUGUUCAGAAAGGCAAUUCUUUUGGUGCCUUCUCUGCAGCAUGAUAAAUACAGUUCAGUUUAGAAAUUGAAUAUCGGUCAUGGUUCUACAAAGCCUAUUCACAUCCCACAGCUGUUUUCAAAGGGUUUAAUCUCAGCACUUCUCAAGAGUUUGUUUUGUUUUGAGGCUCUCCUAAAGAAAGGAGUUUAUUCAAACUGGCCAGCUCCAACAGCUAAUGCAGCAUCUCUGAAACUGCCACUGAGCCUAAAUUAGGUUGUCAGAGUCAACAUACAGAUCUAGUGAGCCUAUUAAAAUCUUAAUAACUUUUAAAAUUGGACUCUGGGUAGCAAAACAUUGCCCUGUGUAUUAGAUCUUGAGUAGAUAAAUCCAUUAAGCCAUGUCUUAUUGCCUUUCUUCUCUUUGUAACGAACUGCCCAAAAGUGGAGGUUAGAGGAAUUUUUAGAAAUCUGAACACCUUUAAUAUUGGAACACCAUAAAGGAGUUGUCAUUGAACUACAUGCAACUCAUCCAAAUCAGUUCUGCUGUGUUAGGAAAGCUUCCUGCUUUUUAUUGUGUCCCCUUACUGAUGGAGUUAGGAUUUUUGUUUCUUAGAGAAAGAUUGUUGGUUUUAAUGAGGCAAAGUAUGGGGAAGACAGCUGUAGUGCUUGUUUGUUGCCUGUUACUUAAGAGCCCAUGGUCCGAUCCUGAUCUUAGGAAAGGAGCUGUCAAUUACAUCUAAAGUCAGACUUUACUGUUUCAGCUUUAGUUUUGUGCAUGAGGACGUUACUUGAGUCCAGUAAAGUUAUAUUACUUUCUCCUUCUGCUUCCUUCUCUCCCUUCAAUAAAGUGACAGAUAACUGACAGAUGGCAAUAUCUAUAAUGCACUGCCAUAAAUUGAAGAAGGAAACUCCGAUUUACUCUGAACAAGAAGGAAAAUUCUUAUGCCACAGUUCUCACAUACCACUGAAGUUCUCCUUCAUUAAUGGAUGCGAGUGGGAGGUCAAAAUUGAACUUUUUAAUGGGAACAAAGUUGCAGCCUUAAUUAUGGAGGAAAUUUAGAUUACUCAUAAUAAUCAACCUAAGUUUGAAUGUUAAGUUUGACUGGCAGAAAAACAUCUGUCAUCAUUAUUACUAUGUAUGAGACUAAAUCCAUUUGCAGACAAGUACCAAGUGAUUAGACAGAACUAGGAGAAGUAAAAGGACUUGGGAGAAAUUCCUUGUAAUUCUCUUCUGUCAAGAAGGAUAAUUAGUGGCCUUUAGGAUAUUUCAGCCAGUUGUAAUGCUCUCAGAAAGCAAAUUAAAUAAAACCAAACGUGGUCAUUUAUGACAGCAGUAACUGUAAUGAGCCCUUUCAGUGUGCUGUACUGUGCUCUCUGCAUUGUCAUUUAUCUCAGUGCAAAGUGGAUAUUAACAGAGAAUCUUUUAUUUGUACAGCAAUUAAUAACUAAAGGUGCAAAAGAUGAGCUAUGUACACCACAUGUAACACACUGUUCACAUUCAUGAUUUAGAUGAAUAAAUGUUUUGGGAUGCAGUUGUCAA